UUAUUUUGGCAGAUUAGUGUAUUUGAUUUAGAAUCAUUUUAAGUAAAAUUUAUUACAAGUAAUA
Molecule: transfer RNA, 64 nt
Filed under: Metriorrhynchina sp. BM0083
Lineage: Eukaryota; Metazoa; Arthropoda; Insecta; Coleoptera; Lycidae
Description: tRNA-Leu
Source: RNAcentral